AGAGUAGGCGAGGUGGUUACAGACAUUGUCUGAGGAAAGUCCGGGCUCCCUAAAGACCAGACCUGCUGGGUAACGCCCAGUGCGAGCGAUCGCGAGAGAGUGCCACAGAAACAUACCGCCGAUGAAGCCAUUAGCCAAUCGCUAAUAGCCACAGGUAAGGGUGCAAGGGUGCGGUAAGAGCGCACCAGCAGUGUCGAGAGGCACUGGCUCGGUAAACCCCGGUCGGGAGCAAGGUCGAAGGGACAAAGGUUGGUCUUUUCCCUGUCCCGCUUAAAAGCACCGCUUGAGGAAGUUGGUAACAACUAUCCCAGAUAGAUAACUGCCCCCUUGCUAGCAUGGCUACAAGGGAACAGAACCCGGCUUAUGUCUUGCUCUUCCC
RNAcentral lists this RNase P RNA (379 nucleotides) under Leptolyngbyaceae cyanobacterium SL_7_1. Its description in RNAcentral is "RNase P RNA component class A". It matches the Rfam family "Bacterial RNase P class A". From Rfam's summary of the family: Ribonuclease P (RNase P) is a ubiquitous endoribonuclease, found in archaea, bacteria and eukarya as well as chloroplasts and mitochondria. Its best characterised activity is the generation of mature 5'-ends of tRNAs by cleaving the 5'-leader elements of precursor-tRNAs. Lineage: Bacteria; Bacillati; Cyanobacteriota; Cyanophyceae; Leptolyngbyales; Leptolyngbyaceae. The record is from RNAcentral.